AAAAUUAUAUUUUCGUAUAAAAUGUUAUAAUUUUUGAUGUUUUUCGACUAGUUCUUAGAAAAAAUUACAAUCAAAAGUAAGCAAUUACGCAUUGAUUAUACAACCCAUAAAACACAAAAGUAAAUUUUAGUAUACAAAAUUUUUUCAUGGUUGCAUUAAUCGUCCACCGAGGGCGCGCAAUAAGGUUCUGUCUUUUUUGUUUUCAUGGCCACUAUGCAGAAACAGUUAUCAUGGAGAAUGAAACGGCCUUAUAAGCGCAGCUUGUUGAUUCAGAUGGCCUUGGGGUAUAUUUUUGUAUGGCAUCCUCUAUACUUACCUUGACUAACUUUCUAUUUAAAACAGUUUACUAUAUAGGAGACUUGAUCCUAUUUUUCUAAAUAGAGCAUAGAUGGCUGGUUUAUAGCAAUCUGGUUUAUGGUAUUACAGAUUUCUAUUACAUAUGUAUGUUUAAUUUCUGUUUUAUUCAUUUAAUAAUAACAAUAUUUAGUUUGUGCAAACUGUGAAUUUGUGGAAAUCUUCAGAUAAGUUUAAUUUCAUCGUUCAUUAAUAUUUGUGUAAGACGUAAGACUAUUUUUUAUAAUUCGUAGGUGACAGAAAUCUAAAAAAUGAAAAUUUGAGGUUAUAGUAACGCUACAAUGGGAAUAAAAAACAAAUCACAAAAUAUGAAGAUAUUUAUCAAGAGUGUAAAAUUAAAGCUUGGUAGUAUAAAAUAUAGUUCGGAAUAUGAAAUACAGAUUUAAUAAAAAUUACUAGUUUUAUUUAAUAUUUAGUAUGGCAUGUUAUUUUAUACUUUCUGGGUUUUACAAGUUUAAUAAAUCAUAAAAAGUAAUCGUAAUGUUUUAUUUAUAUUUGAUACGAAUUUGCAAUAAAACCAUUUUGCUUAAUAAUCAUUUGUUUUAGGUUAGAACAAAGUGAUUUUGAUCAUUUGGAAACAACAAAACCGAUGUAACUAUGAAACAUUACCCCAACCUUGGAGUAAUGUUUAACAUUUUUUUCUUGCUUUUUUCUUUUCUGCAUUCUGUAUAAAAUGUUGCAUGCUCGUAAAUUUACGAUGUCAUGUGUUUGUCGUUGUUUUACGUUACAUACAUUUUUUUAUUGUAGAAAUGAUCAGUAAUUCGCAACUUCAAACUGGUGAUGUUUCAUCAGAUUCAUUUAAAAAGCGUAAACAAAGAACAUCUUUUACAUACCAAGCUUUGGACCGAUUAAACGCCUUCUUUGAAAAAAAUCAACGACCUUCAGGUCUGGAAUUCACAAGAUUGGCCAAGGAACUGGGUUAUGAUAGAAGAGUGAUUAGAAUUUGGUUUUGUAAUAAGAGACAAGCAUUAAGAAAAGUAAUGUCGUGAAAAUGUUAUUAAAAAAACUUUCAUAAUUUAGUAUCUAGGUGCUUAAUUUUAUAUUUUUACAAUUAGGAAUCACUAAAUAAUUUGUGUAGGUUUAAAUGUUUAUGAUUAAAUUAUUUAAAUAAGUUUUUAUAGUGUUAUACAAAUUCGCUAGUCCGCUCUGUCGGGCAUAAAGUAAUAAAAAACACAUUGUUAAA
This is a long non-coding RNA of Tribolium madens (black flour beetle), 1537 nucleotides long. RefSeq lists it as uncharacterized. The transcript has 2 exons. The record is from RefSeq and is a predicted model, not a curated record. NCBI's taxonomy places the organism in Eukaryota, Metazoa, Arthropoda, Insecta, Coleoptera, Tenebrionidae.